GACGGAGGGGGCUAGCGUUGUUCGGAAUUACUGGGCGUAAAGGGCCAGUAGGCGGCCAACUAAGUCACACGUGAAAUCCCCAGGCUUAACCUGGGAACUGCGUGUGAUACUGGAUGGCUUGAAUUCGGGAGAGGGAUGCAGAAUUCCAGGUGUAGCGGUGAAAUGCGUAGAUAUCUGGAGGAAUACCGGUGGCGAAGGCGGCAUCCUGGACCGUCAUUGACGCUGAACGGCGAAAGCUAGGGGAGCAAACGGG
RNAcentral lists this ribosomal RNA (253 nucleotides) under uncultured bacterium. RNAcentral's name for it is "partial 16S ribosomal RNA". It matches the Rfam family "Bacterial small subunit ribosomal RNA", at positions 524 to 776 of the family's 1533-position model. The record is from RNAcentral.